CUGAAAAAUUGAAUGGCCGCAGUAUUUUAACUGUGCAAAGGUAGCAUAAUCAUUAGUCUUUUAAUUGAGGGCUGGAAUGAAUGAUUGGACGAGAUAUAAACUGUCUUAAUUAAAUUUAUAGAAUUUUAUUUUUUAGUCAAAAAGCUAAAAUUUUUUUAAAAGACGAGAAGACCCUAUAGAUCUUUAUUUUAAUUAUUUUAUAAAUAAAUAAGAAAAAUUUUUUUAUAAAAUUAAUUUAAAAUUUUAUUGGGGUGAUAUUAAGAUUAAAAUAACUCUUAAUUUAUAAAUUCAUAAAUUUAUGAAUUAUUGAUCCUUUAUUAUGGAUUAAAAAAUUAAGUUACCUUAGGGAUAACAGCGUAAUUAUUUUAGAGAGUUCAUAUCGAUAAAAUAGUUUGCGACCUCGAUGUUGGAUUAAGAUUAAUUUUGGGGGUAGAAUUUCAAAGUAUUAAGUCUGUUCGACUUUUAAUUUCUUAC
RNAcentral lists this ribosomal RNA (474 nucleotides) under Thinolestris nigra. RNAcentral's name for it is "partial 16S ribosomal RNA". It matches the Rfam family "Bacterial large subunit ribosomal RNA", at positions 1912 to 2599 of the family's 2925-position model. Lineage: Eukaryota; Metazoa; Arthropoda; Insecta; Diptera; Dolichopodidae. The record is from RNAcentral.